This 406-nucleotide ribosomal RNA is filed under the name uncultured bacterium. RNAcentral's name for it is "partial 16S ribosomal RNA". It matches the Rfam family "Bacterial small subunit ribosomal RNA", at positions 30 to 526 of the family's 1533-position model. The record is from RNAcentral.
AUUGAACGCUGGCGGCAGGCCUAACACAUGCAAGUCGAACGAGUGGCGGACGGGUGAGUAAUGUCUGGGAAACUGCCCGAUGGAGGGGGAUAACUACUGGAAACGGUAGCUAAUACCGCCUACCAUCGGAUGUGCCCAGUUGGGGUUAGUUAGUGGGUGGGGUAACGGCUCACCUAGGCGACGAUCCCUAGCUGGGCUGAGUGGAUGACCAGCCACACUGGAACGGAGACACGUUCCAAAAUCCUACGGGAGGCAGCAGUGGGGAAUAUUGCACAAUGGGCGCAAGCCUGAUGCAGCCAUGCCGCGUGUAUGAAGAAGGCCUUCGGGUUGUAAAGUACUUUCAGCGAGGAGGCGUUACUCGCAGAAGAAGCACCGGCUAACUCCGUGCCAGCAGCCGCGGUAAUAC